Molecule: small nuclear RNA, 194 nt
Organism: Artibeus jamaicensis (Jamaican fruit-eating bat)
Lineage: Eukaryota; Metazoa; Chordata; Mammalia; Chiroptera; Phyllostomidae
Product: U2 spliceosomal RNA
Exons: 1
Source: RefSeq, a predicted model, not a curated record
AUUGUUUCUCAUCCCCUUGGCUAAGAUCAAGCACAGGUACCUGUUCUUAUCAAUUUAACAUCUGAUACAUACAUCCUCUAUCCAUGGCAACAGAUUAAAUGGAUUUUUGGAGCAGGGAAUUCGAAUAGGAGUUGCUGUAUCCACACUCUGCAUCCACCCGGCAUUGUGGUACCUACGGGAAUGGAGCGCCCCCU